Long non-coding RNA from Sinocyclocheilus anshuiensis, 168 nucleotides. RefSeq lists it as uncharacterized. The record is from RefSeq and is a predicted model, not a curated record. Lineage: Eukaryota; Metazoa; Chordata; Actinopteri; Cypriniformes; Cyprinidae. The transcript has 2 exons.
UGUUAGGACAAUGGAGGCACCACAGCCAGAGAAAGGGUGGACCCGACAUAGAGCAAGAAUCCUGAACGAGUCAGCAUCUUUUCAGAAUGUGGCCAACAACUGGAAGAAGGCCAGCUACACUUCUGACAUAAACUCAGAACCUGAAAUUGCUGGAAAAAAGAUUCCCAA